This 640-nucleotide ribosomal RNA is filed under the name uncultured bacterium. RNAcentral's name for it is "bacterial SSU rRNA". The stretch from base 1 to 549 matches the Rfam family "Bacterial small subunit ribosomal RNA", at positions 338 to 873 of the family's 1533-position model. The record is from RNAcentral.
CCUACGGGAGGCAGCAGUGGGGAAUAUUGGACAAUGGGCGCAAGCCUGAUCCAGCCAUACCGCGUGUGUGAAGAAGGCCUUUUGGUUGUAAAGCACUUUAAGCGAGGAGGAGGCUCUUGAGGAUAAUACCCCUUGAUGAGUGGACGUUACUCGCAGAAUAAGCACCGGCUAACUCUGUGCCAGCAGCCGCGGUAAUACAGAGGGUGCGAGCGUUAAUCGGAAUUACUGGGCGUAAAGCGCGCGUAGGCGGCUUGUUAAGUCGGAUGUGAAAUCCCCGGGGCUCAACCUGGGCACUGCAUUCGAUACUGGCAAGCUAGAGUAUGGGAGAGGAAGGUAGAAUUCCAGGUGUAGCGGUGAAAUGCGUAGAGAUCUGGAGGAUACCGAUGGCGAAGGCAGCCUUCUGGCCCUAAUACUGACGCUGAGGUGCGAAAGCAUGGGGANCAAACAGGAUUAGAUACCCUGGUAGUCCAUGCCGUAAACGAUGUCAACUAGCCGUUGGGGACCCUUGAGUCCUUUAGGNGCGNGAGCUAACGNGAUUAGUUGACCGCCGUUGGGGUAGGUUACGGUUCGGCGAGAACGUUAAACGUUACGAAGAGUUAGAGGAGNGAGGAGAGCGACGGACGACGACGAGGAGGAGGNG